Molecule: long non-coding RNA, 316 nt
Filed under: Canis lupus familiaris (dog)
Lineage: Eukaryota; Metazoa; Chordata; Mammalia; Carnivora; Canidae
Description: lncRNA (ENSCAFG00000044456.2)
Source: RNAcentral
CUCGAGCUCGGCGCGGACCCGCCCGGGCGCGCUCCUCCCGCGGCUCCCGGCGUCCCGCCGCCCAGCCCGGAGCGGGCCCGCGGGCCCCGCCACCCUGGAGGGCGCCGCCGGCACCCGGCGCGGAGGCUCGCCGGCGGAGGUCGCUGCGGGGGGCUAGACCCCGGCGGCGCGCCGCUCUCCCCCCGCAGGUCUUCCUUUGAAAUAGUGGAUGGUGACUCGGCUCUUCUGCCUGAGAGUGGUUCAAAAUGAUUUCUCUGUAACAGUCUCCAGGUGGCCUAGGUGCUAAACAGGCACUUCCCCUUUGCUUCAAGGAUUA